Molecule: long non-coding RNA, 721 nt
Organism: Catharus ustulatus (Swainson's thrush)
Lineage: Eukaryota; Metazoa; Chordata; Aves; Passeriformes; Turdidae
Exons: 4
Source: RefSeq, a predicted model, not a curated record
CUCUGCUGCUGUGCAGGUACCACCUCUGAUCACUUCCUUCUCCCCUUCCUCUGCUGAACCAUCAUUCAGCUGAUGCACCUGCAGGACAGUGAGGAGAAAAUGAAGUGAAGUUGCAAGCCAGGACAACCUUGGAACUGGGACAGGACAAGGAGCUUUUUGCCCUUCACACUCCUGACUUUGCUGCUGUGGUUCCAGGCCAGCUCCAGGACUGUGGAAGAAAGGCUCCUCCUGCUGCCCUGGCUGCUGGUGACCUGGCAGGGCACAUGGAGCUGCUGGCUGCCACAGCACCAGAGAGAGCAGGGAAGGAUGUGACAGCUUCACAAGCCGAGGUGGAAGGAGCAGAAAAAGCAGCUGCAAUGCCAGAGGGAGAAAGCCUGGUGGGAACAGGUCUGGGGGGGAAGGUGGUCACUCCUGAAGGAACAGCGGCGAUUGUGGUGGGAGCAUCAGAAAACCCAGCAGCAGAAAGAGUUGCUGAAGCAUUUGCCAGGGCAGCAGAAAGAAUUGCAGUAUCAGAAGUAGCCAAGGUGUUGCAGUCAGCAAUAGCUGAGCUCAAAGGGAAGAGGAAGAACAUGUGGAUAAAGCCAAGGAACACCACUCAGCAGGAAGAGGAUUGGAUGAAAGAGGGAGAGGUGAAAUGAAAUGGAGAGGUGAUGUUCUGGGUCAUACCUCCUAAUUGGGGGCUUGUACCAGCACUCCUGGAAUGCAGUAGGGCUGCCAACCA